RNAcentral lists this ribosomal RNA (683 nucleotides) under uncultured Lysobacter sp. Its description in RNAcentral is "bacterial SSU rRNA". It matches the Rfam family "Bacterial small subunit ribosomal RNA", at positions 60 to 732 of the family's 1533-position model. Lineage: Bacteria; Pseudomonadati; Pseudomonadota; Gammaproteobacteria; Lysobacterales; Lysobacteraceae. The record is from RNAcentral.
AGUCGAACGGCAGCACAGCAGUAGCAAUACUGUGGGUGGCGAGUGGCGGACGGGUGAGGAAUACAUCGGAAUCUGCCUAGUCGUGGGGGAUAACGUAGGGAAACUUACGCUAAUACCGCAUACGACCUACGGGUGAAAGCGGGGGAUCGCAAGACCUCGCGCGAUUAGAUGAGCCGAUGUCCGAUUAGCUAGUUGGCGGGGUAAUGGCCCACCAAGGCGACGAUCGGUAGCUGGUCUGAGAGGAUGAUCAGCCACACUGGAACUGAGACACGGUCCAGACUCCUACGGGAGGCAGCAGUGGGGAAUAUUGGACAAUGGGCGCAAGCCUGAUCCAGCCAUGCCGCGUGGGUGAAGAAGGCCUUCGGGUUGUAAAGCCCUUUUGUCCGGAAAGAAAAGCACUGGAUUAAUACUUCGGUGUUCUGACGGUACCGGAAGAAUAAGCACCGGCUAACUUCGUGCCAGCAGCCGCGGUAAUACGAAGGGUGCAAGCGUUACUCGGAAUUACUGGGCGUAAAGCGUGCGUAGGUGGUUCGUUAAGUCUGAUGUGAAAGCCCUGGGCUCAACCUGGGAAUUGCAUUGGAUACUGGCGGGCUAGAGUGCGGUAGAGGAUGGCGGAAUUCCCGGUGUAGCAGUGAAAUGCGUAGAGAUCGGGAGGAACAUCUGUGGCGAAGGCGGCCAUCUGG